CAUGUUUCCUGGCUGGAGAACCACUUAUUUGUUUAAUAUUUAUUUUUAAACUGAAGAAUGAAGAAAAUAAAUUUCAAAACGUCGGAGUCCAAAAGAAUGUGGCUAAAAUAUGUACAUGAAAUACUGUACUAAAACAGUCCACAGUCAUCAGUAAAUGCAUAUCCAUUAACGGGUGGAAAAAAAGUAAAGAAGAUCAAAAGCCCAGUAUUAUGCAUUCAUUGUUGGUAUGACUUAUAUUGUUGUUAAAAGAUACUCCAUCUCCUGUCUACUAAAUAUCAGACAUUACUCAUUUUUGCUUAAGAAACAUUUCCCAGAUGGUCUCAAUUUUAUUUUGUGUGCUUCCUAGAUCUGACUGUAUGUCCAAAGUCACCUGUUUCAAGAGUACAUUGUGUAUCUCUCUCCAUUAGGAAUAAAUCACUGAUCUCAUCUUCAGUAUUUUAAAGUAAAAAGAUUAAUUCUCUUUGGAUCAUAAAAUACUAGGACCAAUUUAAAUGAAACAUGUGACAUUUGCAUAAAUUUGUUCUUGCUUUGGUUUUGGUCUUCUCAUUUUAUUCAAACACAAAAAUUCUUGUAACACUAAUAAUAAACUCUACUCUAUCCUCACGCUGUCUUGCGGCUGCAGCUACUGGACCAAGAUAGCUCUGGACUAUCAAUGCUGGUACUAGAUACUUCUAUAUAAAUUUUUAUUAUAACUCCAACAUCUGAAAUGUAAUGGAGAUUAUAGUUCAUUAAUGUUACUAUUCUCUUUAAAUAUGGCGCCUGUUUAUUUCUACCUGUUUUUACAGAACACUCAUAAGACCCUAUUCUGU
This 809-nucleotide long non-coding RNA is filed under the name Homo sapiens (human). RNAcentral describes it as "HSALNT0018846". Lineage: Eukaryota; Metazoa; Chordata; Mammalia; Primates; Hominidae. The record is from RNAcentral.